UACGUAGGCAGCGAGCGUUGUUCGGAAUUACUGGGCGUAAAGAGUGCGUAGGCGGUGCCUCAAGUUUGGUGUGAAAUCUCCCGGCUCAACCGGGAGGGUGCGCCGAAAACUGAGGUGCUCGAGUGUGGGAGAGGUAGGCGGAAUUCCUGGUGUAGCGGUGAAAUGCGUAGAUAUCAGGAGGAACACCGGCGGUGUAGACGGCUUACUGGACCAUAACUGACGCUGAGGCACGAAAGUGUGGGGAGCAAACAGG
This 253-nucleotide ribosomal RNA is filed under the name uncultured bacterium. RNAcentral describes it as "partial 16S ribosomal RNA". It matches the Rfam family "Bacterial small subunit ribosomal RNA", at positions 524 to 776 of the family's 1533-position model. The record is from RNAcentral.